AUUGUCCCGCUUGGAGAAGGGAAGGGCAAGGAGCUUUCUGAGGCUAUUGUUCCAAGAAUAACUCUGAUUAUUCUUUCUCUCUCUCUCAUGUUCUUUCAGAUCAGAAUAAAUGUACUUGAGCUCUAGAAAAAGGACUCAAAUUAGACCUGCAAAUAUUUCCCAGAGUUAAGGGGACAGGGAGCUAGAAGGUGGUGACCACCUCGGGCCAGAGCUGCAAAAUUUGGAGGCUAAGUAGGGACUCCAAGGGUCCAAGCAGGAAGUCCCUAAUUGCAAAGUGACAGGCAUCAGGGAGUGGGUGGGGGCAUCUCUAAAACCAGCACCUAUGACUCAGACUCCUUCAUAAACAUCCAGAACUAAAGAUGGGCAUUCAGCUGUGGCCCAGAAGAGCCACACUCUCCUCAGACCAAGCCCUUUGGCCCACAUCCUUAGUGACCCAUGGAACUCAGUUUCCCAUCAGUAAUCAGAAGGGUUGUAUUAGUCAGGCUUCUCUAGAGGAACAGAAUCAACAGGAAGUAUAAUUGUAACAGGAAGACUUAUUAGGUUGGCUUAAGCCACCAGAAGCUGGAUAGUCCACAAUGGCCGUCUGCAGGCUGCAGAGCUGGGACAACCAGUAGCUGCUCAGUCCAAGAGGCUGAAGCUCCAGAACAAGAGGGAUCAACCGUGAUACUCUAGUCUGAGACCAAAGGCUUCUGGAGAAUCCGCUUUGGAAGAGUGAAGAAAGGAGAGUCUGAUAUUCUCAGCCGGUGACAGGGUGACAGCUGCAAUCAAGAACCUGUUCAAGAAGAAUUGAGCUUACAUCUCCUGCAUCUUUGUUUCAUCUUUCAUCUGAUGCAUCUUUGUUCUUCCAAUUUGCAUUCCAUCCAAGCCAUCAUCCUAUUGGUGGGUACUGCCCAUGCUUAGGGAGGGUCUUCAUUUCAGUUGGCUAUUCCACAUGCCAGUCAUUCCUAGACACACCCUAAUGACACACCCAUAAUCCUAUUAAUCCUUGGUAUCUCUUAAUCCAAUCAAGUUGACAACUCAAAUUAACCAUUAAAGGGGUUUGCACUACAUGGCCUCUGAGGGACUUCCCAGCUCUGAGCCCAGGAUUGAGAGUUUAACCCGCUGGGCUGUGUGGAAUAUCUGAAGAGGACCAGAGAGUAAGAGACCCAGGGAGCUGUGUAGGAGGCUGAAUCCUGGGCCUUCCCAGGCCACUAGGCCAGAAUCUGCAUUUUAACAAGUUCACUCUGAAACCUGAGACCACACUGACCUUUUGUGGUCCCUGAAACAUGACUGACUGUAGCACCUGCUGUUCCCUUUGCUGAAUCCUUUCCCCCAGAGCUGCUCUGCCUGUUACCCUCUGCCCUGUUUCACUCAGGUCUCUGCCCAAACAAACAUCUCCUUCAGAGAGGUGUUUCCUGACCACCUUUUCUAACAACAAAUAACAUCUAAUUUUGUAGUGUAGUAUAUCCCAUGCAAUAUUUGUGAAAUAGUUAUAGUAAAAAAAUCAGUUGUCAUUGAUAUGAAAUUUAAAUGUAAUUGGACAUCCUGGGUCCUUCUCUUCUUCCUCCUUUUGAUGCUGGGGAUUGAACCCAGGGCCUCAUGCAUGUAAGCAUGUGCUCUACACCCCCAGCCCAAAGAGUUAGGGUCUUGGGCUGGGGUUGUGGCUCAGUGGUAGAGCACUGGCCUUACCCGUGUGAGGCACGGGGUUCGAUCCUGAGCACCACAUAAAUAUAUAAAAUAAAGGUAUUGUGUCCAGCUACAAUUAAAAAUUUAAAAACAAAACAGAUAAUGUUUUGCUGUGUUGUCCCAGGCUGGCCUCAAAUCCCUGGGCUCAUCGAUCCUCCUGCCUCAGUCUCCUGAAUAGCUGGUUCUACAGGCACACGCCACCACGUUCAGCUUGUCCUAUAUUUUUAUUCGGUAAAUUUGGCAACCCUAAGUCAGUGGGGCUUUCUGUACUUCAAUCCCCUGACAGUAGGCAGAUGUUAGUUGGAGUCCCCAGGGCAGCAUAGAGGAUGGUGGCAGCUCUCCUGCACACUCUGUCCUCUGCUCCCACAAAGAUGCC
RNAcentral lists this long non-coding RNA (2041 nucleotides) under Marmota monax (woodchuck). Lineage: Eukaryota; Metazoa; Chordata; Mammalia; Rodentia; Sciuridae. The record is from RNAcentral.